GCGAAUCCGUUGGGGUGCCCCGAGAGGGGCUGAGAGGCACAUCGCCAACCCAUCGAACCUGAUCCGGUCAAUACCGGCGUAGGGAACGGAGCCAGAGCAGAG
RNAcentral lists this non-coding RNA (102 nucleotides) under Rhodovulum sp. RNAcentral describes it as "TPP sequence". It matches the Rfam family "TPP riboswitch aptamer (THI element)". From Rfam's summary of the family: Vitamin B(1) in its active form thiamin pyrophosphate (TPP) is an essential coenzyme that is synthesised by coupling of pyrimidine and thiazole moieties in bacteria. The record is from RNAcentral. Lineage: Bacteria; Pseudomonadati; Pseudomonadota; Alphaproteobacteria; Rhodobacterales; Paracoccaceae. RNAcentral also lists the same sequence under 1 other name.